Non-coding RNA from Tetranychus urticae (two-spotted spider mite), 1249 nucleotides. The record is from RefSeq and is a predicted model, not a curated record. Lineage: Eukaryota; Metazoa; Arthropoda; Arachnida; Trombidiformes; Tetranychidae.
UACCAACCUUUGAAACGAUGAAGUACUUGAACAAAAAAUUGACUAGUCUCUUUUGAUUCAGGUCAAUUAACGGCCACUGAGUUAUUAAAGACAGGUUAGGAUGACAAUUUGAAUAGUCAAUGCUAUUGCUUUAACUGGUUAUCAGCAUAACACCAUAUAAUGUGUCUACUUGCAGGUAGAUUUGCCGUUGUAAUACUUGUUAGUCCAUGUGUCUACGCUUCUUUCAUCUUUCGCUUUUUGCAAAGAAGAAUUCAAAUGAUCACAAAGUCUCCAAAAUUUUCUCACAGAUUGAUAGAUUAAAAUGUGGAACCAGAAUUUUGUUUCCCUGCACAACAAGAAGAAGAAGAAAGAUCAAAAAGAAGAAGAAGAAGAAGAGGAAAAAAUGUAAACAAUUUAGUCAACUUGGAGCUUGCUUCUUCUUCUUGCUUAUGUAUUCAUAGAAAUAAAAAUAGCGGCUUCAUCUCUUCAAAUUUUCAGGCCAACCUUUCGGACCUCACAGUCUCUCUGCCUCAAUACUUUCUCCUUUUCUCUUUCUUUUCAUCAUUUCUCACUCUUUUACCCUAAGGCUAUAGCUAGUGACCUCUCUUUCUGUCUCUCUUGCUCUCUCUCUCUCUUUCUCUCUCUUCAACUUCCAAGGACCUGUGCCCGGCGACCUUUUUUUAACCUUUUCUGUCAACUCUACUUUACCUCAUUAAUAUAACGGGGUUUCCCUGCUCCUUUACUUUCAAUUAUGUACUUUUUUUGCCUCUUUGCCUCACAAACCUUUCUUACUGUUUGUUUAUUUGUUUACAGGUAGAUGUAUUAACAUUGAAAGAGGAUCAGAUAAAUGUGAAAACAAGGAACAAACAAGAAGCCUCACCAGCCAACUAAGUAAACAAAUCUGUCUUCUUCUCCUGCAUCGUCUUCAUCGUUUUCAUCGUCUUUAUCGUCUUCUAGGUCUUUUGCUUUUCCUCUGUCUGGUAUUUCUCAUCUAGACAUGUAUAUUUGAGUCCCUGGGUAACAAGUUUUGUUUUUGACCAAUCUUUCCUUUUUUUUGUGCCAGGUCUGUUUGACCAGGUCAGCUGUGGAUACAGUUGUUCAAGUUUUAUUUACACUUGCACUUGUUCAUACACAACCGUUUACAAUAUUUUUUUCAGCCAUUAUGUGUGAUCAGUUGUUAAUACAACCUUUAAAUAGUUAUUAUACAAAUCAAAGUAAUCAUCUUGUAAAUCUUUUAAGGAAAUAAAUUUAAACACCUAUUUAAACGUUA